This 222-nucleotide long non-coding RNA is filed under the name Elaeis guineensis (African oil palm). Its description in RNAcentral is "long non-coding RNA (EGUI_LNC010944)". The record is from RNAcentral. Lineage: Eukaryota; Viridiplantae; Streptophyta; Magnoliopsida; Arecales; Arecaceae.
UUAUUUAAUUCACAUAUAUGAGUUUCAAUUUAAUUUUUUAAUAUCAUAAUAUUUUUAUUUAAUUAAAUAAUAUUUUAUAAUUUUUUUUGAUUCACAUGAUAUUUACAGAUGAUAAAUUCAUGCUCACAUGAAUAACUUAAAUUGCUAUCCUAGAUAUAUAUAUAUAUAUAUAUAUUAGAUUUCCUUCGAAAUUAACAUAGUAGGACUGAAUUUUAUAUAGCA